This 435-nucleotide ribosomal RNA is filed under the name Triticum aestivum (bread wheat). RNAcentral's name for it is "partial small subunit ribosomal RNA". Lineage: Eukaryota; Viridiplantae; Streptophyta; Magnoliopsida; Poales; Poaceae. The record is from RNAcentral.
AUGGAGUUCAUUCACAAGGGUGGGGUUUGGUGGUUCCUCCUGCUCGCAAUGGUGUUGCUGGCUCCGGCGACGGUAGGCGCCGAGCAGGAGGAUGGGGCCACAACCAUUACCACCUUGCACGUGGAGGAGGAGGUCGGCUCGCGUGCCGAUGACCAUGGCAACGACGAUUGCGACAUCAAGUGCGCCUAUUACCAAGAUCUGGCCAGGAGACAGUUCUGUGUGGACCAGUGCCACAGCCAGCAGCAUCAUCAUCCUAGCAGAGAAGACUGCGAGUUGAAAUGUCAACACUGGCAAGACCCAACAAGAAAGGAAUUAUGCGUGCAACAGUGCAUGAGCUUCGGCCUCAACCUCCAUGUGAGUGGCAGCAGCAGCGUGGACGAGCACCUCCGCGGCUGGGAAGCGGUGGCCGGAGCCAUCAUCGAGGAGGUGGUGUGA